GUGAGGAAUUUUCCGCAAUGGGCGAAAGCCUGACGGAGCAAUGCCGCGUGAAGGAUGAAGGCCUAUGGGUUGUAAACUUCUUUUCUCAGAAAAGAAUUAUGACGGUAUCUGAGGAAUAAGCAUCGGCUAACUCUGUGCCAGCAGCCGCGGUAAGACCGAGGAUGCAAGCGUUAUCCGGAAUGAUUGGGCGUAAAGCGUCUUUAGGUUGUUUAAAAAGUAUUCUGUCAAAGAUUAGGGCUUAACCCUAGAUAGGCAGAAUAAACUUUUAAGCUAGAGUGUGGUAGAGACAGAGGGAAUUCCCGGUGGAGCGGUGAAAUGCGUAGAUAUCGGGAGGAACACCAAAGGCGAAGGGACUCUGCUGGGCAAAUACUAACACUGAGAGACGAAAGCGAGGGGAGCAAAUGGGAUUAGAAACCCGUGUAGUCC
RNAcentral lists this ribosomal RNA (426 nucleotides) under uncultured bacterium. Its description in RNAcentral is "bacterial SSU rRNA". It matches the Rfam family "Bacterial small subunit ribosomal RNA", at positions 354 to 796 of the family's 1533-position model. The record is from RNAcentral.